CUUAAUUUUGAUAUCAUUGUCAAUGACAGCUCCGUGCCCCUUUUGUGAUGUAACAGUUCCUUGGGCAGAACUGGAAAGCAGGCAUGCUAACAGUCACUUUGAAUUGGAAGAUGAGCAGCGAAAGCAAAAAAGACUCGCUACGGACAGGGACUUGGCCCAGCAGAUUGCUCUUGCCCCUUUUUCACCUCAUUCUCACUCUAAUAAUCUAGUGAUGGAUGACAUGUCAUGUGAGUCGAGCUGUGAUGAUGCUGUUAGGGGUUGUGGAGAAUCACAUAUUGAUGAAAAGAUUGCUUGCUUGAUUGGUUUGCAGAUUAGGAGCCCUUUUUACCAAGUUGAAACUGGUUUGAUGGCUUUGUUGAAAAACUGUUUGGAAUUAGAAGCAGGAAAUUCGACAAGUAUUUUGUCAGGUUAUGUCGAUCAUUUUCAUAGCAUUGAAUCUGAGGAUGUUGGGUGGGGUUGUGGGUGGCGUAACAUUCAAAUGCUUAGCUCUCACUUGCUUAUGCGAAGACAAGAAGCAAGAGAGGUUUUGUUUGGUGGUUCAGGAUUUGUUCCCGAUAUAGCAUCGCUUCAGAGAUGGCUUGAGAUUGCUUGGGAAAGGGGUUUUGAUGCACUUGGCUCUGAACAUUUCAAUCGUAAAAUUUAUGGUUCAAGAAAUUGGAUUGGAGCUACUGAAUGUGCUGCUCUAUUCCGUUCUUUUGGGCUUCGCGCAAGAAUAGUCGAUUUUGGUCCAAAAGAACUUGAAUCGCUUUGUCUUUCUGUUCCUGGUUCAAGUCUUGGGGCACAGGUAUCAAAAAUAAAUGACAGAGGCAAGAGGAAAGUAGUUCAGGUUUACGGACCGAUGGAUAAAUACAUUCUUGGGAGGCAUUAUGAUGCUCCCCUAGCAGGUUCCAGAGGGGAUGAAAAUUCUAGAUAUUCUAGUAUGCAGCUUGGUAGUAAUUUAGGGGGUGGAAGUGGUGAUAAUGUUCUGAAUAAAUGUGCCAGAAAAAACAAGGGUUCGGAAGUUCUUGUUCAUUGGGUGUGGAAUUACUUUUCUGAUGAGAGCUUAAGCAAAUCUUGUCACCAUCGUGUUGCUGUCAGCGAGAAACCACCCUUGUAUUUCCAACAUGAUGGACAUUCAAGAACAGUCGUUGGAGUUCAAGUUAAACAUCAACAGAAUGGGACGCAGCAAUUCAGUCUCUUAAUUUUGGACCCUGCUCAUAGAACAGCAGCUCUAAAAACAUCUCUUAAAGAGAAUGAUGGGUGGCAAAAGCUUAUAAAAAGAGGGGUUCACACACUGAAGAAGCCACAAUACCAGUUGUGUUACAUUGAUCCUGGAAUUGCCAGUGAGGGGGAGAUGGAGCUGCUUAAGAGAAUAGAUAGUAUCUUUCUUGAAUUCUAAAGGAAUGUGUUCCACUUUUGUGCUUCUUUUAGGUACUAUUUAUCCAUUUCAUCAUGUUAUUAACCUCAUUGCAUGCCUUUUCUAUUUUAAUGAUGAAAAAUAUAACAAAGUUAUUACUUGAACACCAAAAGAAAAUUAUAGUUGAACGGCUUAUUGUAAAUUUGUUCAGCAUGUCACUGUAGCAAACUUUUGUGAUAGGAGGCAUUCAUUAAUUUUUCGGAAGAAUGCUCAUACACCCCCGAACUUUGGACUAGUGGCCAAGACACCGUCUAAACUUUUUUAUUGGCCAAUUUACUUCCUAAACUAUAUACACCUGCCAAAUCAAUACUCCAAUUAAUUUCAUGUUAAAACACUAAUGGAAUAAGAGCACAUGAGAAGCAUGUGAACUUUAAAAACUAAAUAUCACACAUAGAAAGAAGAGAGAGGAGAGACCUAGGUCUAACUAGCGAAGAGGAGAGAGAGAGAGGCUGUAGAACUAGAGCCACUGUGGAGCGGCGUUGAGUUCUUCAUCCGGCUGUCGUCUUGCCACCUGUAUCUUCAGGCUCUGUUUUUUUUUUUUUUCCUCGUUCUUUCUAAUGCAAGUAUUGUUCCUCUUAUUUUUCCUUUCUAAUGCAAGAACUCUUUGCUAUGUGCGACUUUCUGUCGGGGUUGGGGUUUAUUUGCUCCAAGAUCCAAAUAAUCACAUAUCUUUUCAUGCAAUGAAUAGGAUGUCUUGUACAAGUAUUGUAUUAGGUCGAGAAGAUCAAGUAUUGCAAGCUCCAACCACAAAAAUUGAUGGUGCAAGAAAUCCCUCAACUCAUAGAAGUGUUGCAUGUGGAGGGAACGGGUGGUCCACAACGUCAAGCAAUUUUUCUAGUUUAGAAUCAUGUUUUUUAAACUUUGGUUAAGUGCUCUAAUGGUUGUUUAUAUGCUAAUUGGUUUGGUAAUGAGGUACUAGUGAUUUGUGUGAGAUGUUAUCAUGAGCAGAUUAUGAUCCUCAUUUUGUUUUUAAUAGAAAAAAUUCUGCACUUAUGUGCAGUUUAUACAAAUUAUAAUCCUCGUUGUCAGUAAUGAAA
RNA transcript from Quercus robur (English oak), 2433 nucleotides. RefSeq lists it as uncharacterized. NCBI's taxonomy places the organism in Eukaryota, Viridiplantae, Streptophyta, Magnoliopsida, Fagales, Fagaceae. The record is from RefSeq and is a predicted model, not a curated record. The transcript is spliced from 8 exons.